GGUGCUUGCACCCCGCUGACGAGCGGCGGACGGGUGAGUAAUGCUUAGGAAUCUGCCCAGUAGUGGGGGAUAGCCCGGGGAAACCCGGAUUAAUACCGCAUACGUCCUACGGGAGAAAGCAGGGGAUCUUCGGACCUUGCGCUAUUGGAUGAGCCUAAGUCGGAUUAGCUAGUUGGUGGGGUAAAGGCCUACCAAGGCGACGAUCCGUAGCUGGUCUGAGAGGAUGAUCAGCCACAUCGGGACUGAGACACGGCCCGAACUCCUACGGGAGGCAGCAGUGGGGAAUAUUGGACAAUGGGGGCAACCCUGAUCCAGCCAUGCCGCGUGUGUGAAGAAGGCUUUC
RNAcentral lists this ribosomal RNA (343 nucleotides) under Marinobacter sp. Ar-29. RNAcentral describes it as "bacterial SSU rRNA". It matches the Rfam family "Bacterial small subunit ribosomal RNA", at positions 75 to 419 of the family's 1533-position model. The record is from RNAcentral. Lineage: Bacteria; Pseudomonadati; Pseudomonadota; Gammaproteobacteria; Pseudomonadales; Marinobacteraceae.